GAACUGAAGAGUUUGAUCCUGGCUCAGAUUGAACGCUGGCGGCAUGCCUUACACAUGCAAGUCGAACGGCAGCACGGGAGCAAUCCUGGUGGCGAGUGGCGAACGGGUGAGUAAUACAUCGGAACGUGUCCUGUAGUGGGGGAUAGCCCGGCGAAAGCCGGAUUAAUACCGCAUACGCUCUACGGAGGAAAGGGGGGGAUCUUCGGACCUCCCGCUACAGGGGCGGCCGAUGGCAGAUUAGCUAGUUGGUGGGGUAAAGGCCUACCAAGGCGACGAUCUGUAGCUGGUCUGAGAGGACGACCAGCCACACUGGGACUGAGACACGGCCCAGACUCCUACGGGAGGCAGCAGUGGGGAAUUUUGGACAAUGGGGGAAACCCUGAUCCAGCAAUGCCGCGUGUGUGAAGAAGGCCUUCGGGUUGUAAAGCACUUUUGUCCGGAAAGAAAACCUCUGGGUUAAUACCCCGGGGGGAUGACGGUACCGGAAGAAUAAGCACCGGCUAACUACGUGCCAGCAGCCGCGGUAAUACGUAGGGUGCAAGCGUUAAUCGGAAUUACUGGGCGUAAAGCGUGCGCAGGCGGUCCGCUAAGACAGAUGUGAAAUCCCCGGGCUUAACCUGGGAACUGCAUUUGUGACUGGCGGGCUAGAGUAUGGCAGAGGGGGGUAGAAUUCCACGUGUAGCAGUGAAAUGCGUAGAGAUGUGGAGGAAUACCGAUGGCGAAGGCAGCCCCCUGGGCCAAUACUGACGCUCAUGCACGAAAGCGUGGGGAGCAAACAGGAUUAGAUACCCUGGUAGUCCACGCCCUAAACGAUGUCAACUAGUUGUCGGGUCUUCAUUGACUUGGUAACGUAGCUAACGCGUGAAGUUGACCGCCUGGGGAGUACGGUCGCAAGAUUAAAACUCAAAGGAAUUGACGGGGACCCGCACAAGCGGUGGAUGAUGUGGAUUAAUUCGAUGCAACGCGAAAAACCUUACCUACCCUUGACAUGUAUGGAA
RNAcentral lists this ribosomal RNA (998 nucleotides) under Paraburkholderia madseniana. RNAcentral describes it as "bacterial SSU rRNA". It matches the Rfam family "Bacterial small subunit ribosomal RNA", at positions 1 to 995 of the family's 1533-position model. Lineage: Bacteria; Pseudomonadati; Pseudomonadota; Betaproteobacteria; Burkholderiales; Burkholderiaceae. RNAcentral also lists the same sequence under 1 other name. The record is from RNAcentral.